CAUCCCAGUUCGGAUUGCAGGCUGAAACCCGCCUGUAUGAAGUUGGAAUCGCUAGUAAUCGCGGAUCAGCAUGCCGCGGUGAAUACGUUCCCGGGCCUUGUACACGCCGCCCGUCACACCAUGAGAGUCGGGAACACCCGAAGUCCGUAGUCUAACCGCAAGGGGACGCGGCCGAAGGUGGGUUCGAUAAUUGGGGUGAAGUCGUAACAAGGUAAC
This 216-nucleotide ribosomal RNA is filed under the name uncultured bacterium. RNAcentral describes it as "partial 16S ribosomal RNA". It matches the Rfam family "Bacterial small subunit ribosomal RNA", at positions 1284 to 1500 of the family's 1533-position model. The record is from RNAcentral.